CAAUUAUCUCUUACUUUUCUGUUUUAGAAUGGGUUUCCAUAUGCCACCAUUCUGUUCCAUUUCCCACUUGCACCUUCAUGUCAUAGCACCAGUUGAUCAGCUUGGCUUCUUAUCAAAAUUGGUUUAUAGACCAAAUUCCUAUUGGUUCAUCACAGCUGACUAUUUGAUUGAAAAACUAAGAACAUGAAAAUGACAGCAGUGGAAGAUUUUCUUAUUCUUGGCUCAACAGACACUAAUAUUUUGGUCCCUUUUAAAUCAAAUUACAAUGGUAAGGUUUGUUGGGUUUUAUAAGAGGCUAUUACUGGGUAGCCUUAAGUCUUUUCUGAAUGUCUAUUUCCUGAGAUCUGUAAUAUAUGACUACUCUGGCAUUGUCUUCUUUGUUUUAAUGGUUACUUGUCUAAGGUAUAAGAUACUACAGAUAAAAUUUUAUUAAAACAAAUUCUGUUAAUCAAGAAGGGCUCUGUAUUUUUUAAAAGUUCAAGUAUUUUCAUUUCUCAUUAUUGUCAGUUAUAAUAGUGAUUUAUUAUGAAGAAUAAAUGGGUAUAGAAAGUA
Myotis lucifugus (little brown bat) is the source of this 552-nucleotide long non-coding RNA. RefSeq lists it as uncharacterized. Lineage: Eukaryota; Metazoa; Chordata; Mammalia; Chiroptera; Vespertilionidae. The transcript has 2 exons. The record is from RefSeq and is a predicted model, not a curated record.